UACGUAGGGUGCGAGCGUUGUCCGGAAUUAUUGGGCGUAAAGAGCUCGUAGGCGGUCUGUCGCGUCUGCUGUGAAAACUCAGGGCUUAACCCUGAGCUUGCAGUGGGUACGGGCAGACUAGAGUGCGGUAGGGGAAACUGGAAUUCCUGGUGUAGCGGUGAGAUGCGCAGAUAUCAGGAGGAACACCUAUUGCGAAGGCAGCUCGCUGG
RNAcentral lists this ribosomal RNA (209 nucleotides) under uncultured bacterium. RNAcentral's name for it is "partial 16S ribosomal RNA". It matches the Rfam family "Bacterial small subunit ribosomal RNA", at positions 524 to 732 of the family's 1533-position model. The record is from RNAcentral.